Peromyscus maniculatus bairdii (prairie deer mouse) is the source of this 1401-nucleotide non-coding RNA. Lineage: Eukaryota; Metazoa; Chordata; Mammalia; Rodentia; Cricetidae. The record is from RefSeq and is a predicted model, not a curated record.
UCUUCUCCUCCCCCCUCCAGCCCUCGGUCCCCCUCCUCUCUCGGCGAGACCCCGGCAACCCUGCGCUCGGGGCGCUCCUGUUGUGGGCGCUGCCGACACAGGGAUGAGCCAGGCGAGGCCCUUGCCCCCCUGGUUUCCCCGCGGAGGUGGCAAGCGGGUGAGAGAAGGAGGGAUGUGGAGGAAAAAAGCUGGGGCUCGAGGGAAGGUGAUGUUCCAGAUGCACAGGCCCGUGCAGUGAACGCGGGAAAACUGAAAGCAUUGGCAGGGAGAAGCUAGGGGUGUGGGGCAGGACCUCUGCACCUGUCAUGGCUUCAGAUCAGAAGAGUAGCUGCUUUCUACGGCCAUGUGCAUCUGUGACUGUUACACCCUGUGUGAUCCUGGGCAGACAUGUGAGGCAGCUGUCUUGCGUCUGACGCCCAGACUGUUACCCACAUUCAGCCUUCUCCACUGGCCCAGACCGAGAAGCGGAUCAGGGGCUUUGCAGAGAGAAAGCAGCCCAGAAGGACCCUGGGCAACCACCACUGACACAAUUGCCGUUGACUGCAGGACCUUUUGUAGAGAGGAAGACACUCGGCCGCUGAGAGAGGACGGCAGUUCAAGAGUGACAGAAGAGGAGGACAAACUCAGCCUCCGUCUCUUGCUCUUCAACCAAGUGCUGUCAGGAGACAGCUGGGGACACCACUCCCCCCCCCCCCCGCCCCCAAUGCCUCUGUCAACACGGAUCCCUCUCUUUCUCCAGGUUUGCAGUCCCUGCCCUAACCCCCAGGGUGGGAUUAGGUCAGUAUUUCCUGUGUCUUCUGUCAUACCAUUCCCAAUUAAAUGAGGUUUCCCAUUUCCAGGAGUCUCCACAACUACCUUCCUCCUGAGUCUUCUCUCAUGAUCUAGGGAGGGUUGGUCCAGGGACGCUCUUCCCAGGGAUACAAAAGCCAAUGGAUAGCCAGGCAAAGUGGCACACCCCAACACUUGGGAAGUGGCACAAGGGAACAGUGAGUUCUAGGCCAGCCUGGAGUACACACAGAGACCCUGUCUCAAAACAUGAGAAGACAAAUACAUAAAAUGACUCCAUAUUCACAUCUAACCUAAGUACAUCUUCUUGAACACUGGUCUAUCUAAGUCACCUGCAGCAUGUUUAGACUACCUAACCCAACGUGAAUGCUCUGUAGAUGCUCUGUUGUAUUGUUUAGGAACAACAACAAGGAGAAUAUCCGUAUGUGUUCAGUAAAUACCUGUUUUUAUAUAGUAUUUUGCUGUCCAUGGGUGAUUGAAUCUGAGGAUUGAAACUCAUGCAUAUGAAGCACCCACUGUAUUUUCCUUCAUCCUAAGCAAUAAUCUCCGUGAAAUCACAGGUUUGAUAUGUGGAUUGCAUUUCCAAAACACAUUAAAAUGACUGUGAGACUCUGA